GUAUCCUGGCUCAGAUUGAACGCUGGCGGCAUGCCUUACACAUGCAAGUCGAACGGUAACAGGUCUUCGGAUGCUGACGAGUGGCGAACGGGUGAGUAAUACAUCGGAACGUGCCCGAUCGUGGGGGAUAACGAAGCGAAAGCUUUGCUAAUACCGCAUACGAUCUACGGAUGAAAGCAGGGGACCGCAAGGCCUUGCGCGGACGGAGCGGCCGAUGGCAGAUUAGGUAGUUGGUGGGAUAAAAGCUCACCAAGCCGACGAUCUGUAGCUGGUCUGAGAGGACGACCAGCCACACUGGGACUGAGACACGGCCCAGACUCCUACGGGAGGCAGCAGUGGGGAAUUUUGGACAAUGGGCGCAAGCCUGAUCCAGCAAUGCCGCGUGCAGGAUGAAGGCCUUCGGGUUGUAAACUGCUUUUGUACGGAGCGAAAAGGUUCUGGUUAAUACCUGGGGCCCAUGACGGUACCGUAAGAAUAAGCACCGGCUAACUACGUG
This 496-nucleotide ribosomal RNA is filed under the name uncultured bacterium. Its description in RNAcentral is "bacterial SSU rRNA". It matches the Rfam family "Bacterial small subunit ribosomal RNA", at positions 14 to 507 of the family's 1533-position model. The record is from RNAcentral.